AGUAGCAGAAUUUCUAUGUAUGUAGCUGCAAACAGAUUUGAAGUUUUGGCCAAUUUGUCACAGUUAAUGGGUGUAUUAACCCAAACAGACUGCAUGUGAUUGCCAGAUUGGCCCCAUUCAACAGCAAACUGAGAGCAGGCCGACUGUCUGAUUGCUGUUUGAUCGCCAUCUUGAUGUGGCAAAGCUGCUUUGAGCUGAAUCUGAGUGGCCGCAGACCCGAUCCCCAUCUUUGAAGUAACUAUUUCAAAGUCUGUGGAUCCAGCUUGCUAACUAGGCUAGCCAGGGUUAGCUGAUAACGUAACAGCCCAUUCCUGUAAAGAUGAUGGUGAUGGCCAUCAGGUUUAAAGUGAGGAACUUUUUGGCUUUGCACCAAAAACUUGGACUCGAUGCUGACCAAGUAAGAGCACUCACAAAAAUAUGUUGCCGCAGCACAUUUCAGAGCUGGUUGCAGUUUUCCCGCUGCACUCUUUUCUACAAAGGACAACUUCACAUGAACGACGGUGUGAUUUAUGUCAGUAGGUUUUCUCGUCUUCUGUUACGAUGAGAAGGGAAAAUGCAAUACUGGCUCUAUUAAAGGUGCUACUCGCAGAUCUUCUCCUGGAUUUCUGCUUCUGUUAAAUGACACAGCCACAUCACAGCUCUGCGGUUUAAUCUCUGAAAUGCUGUGAGGCCACUCUCUGGUUCAGUGCAGAUUAUAAAUGGAACAUGCUGCAGUUCUUGUUCAAGUCUUUGUGGUUGUUAUAUUUGUGUGAAACUGAAGAAUAAGACAUUCUUUGUGCAGAUUUUUUACUCAGUCCCAGGAAUUCUCACCCAAAACUGGGAUAUCUGAACAUGAUAAAGCUCUCUUAUAACUUUUUACCUGUGAUUUUGCUGAAUGAUGAACAGAAAAAUGUAGUGCUUUGCCCCCAAAAACAUUGGCACAUACAACAAAAAAUCAUCCAUCCAUCCUAAAAACCAUCAGUCCAUCCAUCCAUCCCCUUAAGUACUCAUCCACCUUAAGAUCACAGGGAAGCCUAAGGAGCCUAUCCAUGAUCAUAAACUAAGAAAGUCAAUCAGCUACAUUAAAUGGAAAGUGAAAUAAAAGCAGUAAGAAAAAAACUGACUAGACUUUGAAUUAGUCCACAUGGUCUUAAUGAUGUUCUAUCCAGGCCAUGUGUUUUAUUCAUUUAUGUAUUUUUUUGACUGUUUGGAUUGAUGGUUAUUGGAGUCCAGCUGGGACUGGACUCCAAUAACUGUUCCAAUAACUGUUCAUCCUGUUCAUUUUUACACAUUGACAUCCUGUUCAUUUUUACAUAUGAACAGGAUGUCAAUGUGAGGAAGAUCUGUUUGAGAAUCAUGUUUCAGAUUUUUGUGUGGACGACACGAUUGCUGAGUUGGGGGAGAGUUGGUGUCCAAAGCAAAGGAGAAGUGGACCAGAAGAGGGAAGUUGCAGAUACAAAUGGCAGAAACUAGCUUCAUCUGUUGGGUGUCUGGACUUUUAGAGAGCUCAGAUAUCUGGACGAGCCUCAGAGUAUGGUUGCAGGCCUUUCACAUUAAAAGAAGCUGGGUGAGGUGGUUCAUACAUCUGAGUGUAAAGAGACCCUGGGAUGGAUCAAAAUUUGCCUAAGAUGCUUCAGGAUGAACUUGAAAACAUCGGAAGUAAACA
Molecule: long non-coding RNA, 1645 nt
Organism: Oreochromis niloticus (Nile tilapia)
Lineage: Eukaryota; Metazoa; Chordata; Actinopteri; Cichliformes; Cichlidae
Exons: 3
Source: RefSeq, a predicted model, not a curated record